Mytilus trossulus (common blue mussel) is the source of this 1727-nucleotide long non-coding RNA. RefSeq lists it as uncharacterized. The record is from RefSeq and is a predicted model, not a curated record. Lineage: Eukaryota; Metazoa; Mollusca; Bivalvia; Mytilida; Mytilidae. The transcript has 2 exons.
UUUUGUUUCAGUCUGAGUGUACUGAUGGUAGAUUGUUUAAUCAUUUACUAACAAUAUGGCAGUUUAGUCCUGGCGUACCUGAUAUUCCCAAUACCUGUGUACUAGAUUUCUCUGUGUCAUUUGAGUUUAGACAUGCUCUACACUCUCAGUUAUCUGCAGUUUUCUUUGAUACAGUUGUGAAAGAGAUGGUGAACUCUUUUCUUAAACGAGCUAAGCAAAAAUUUGGAGCUCCAUCUAUACGAGCUCAAAAACCCAAAGUCCUAAUCUACAAUAGUUAAUGAAGGCUGAACUUAGAUAACUUGGAAUGAUAUGAUCAAUAAUAAUGUACCAGUGAAUGCCAAGAAAUUGUGAUACUUGUAUUUGUUGUUAUUUGUACUACAAUAUUUUAAUAUUGAAUUAAAACUUGAUUAAGAUAUUUAGUGAUAUAACAUUAUAUAGAUAUUUAUUGAAAUUUUAUAAUUUUGAAAAUAGAUUGACCCUGCUUUUUAACAUAUUCUUGUAAAGAGAUGUAUUGUCACAGAGAUGAUUUUUUUUUUUAUUUCUAGGAAUAUACAUGUUAAAAGCAUUGUUUUAUUUUUGGUAUAAUUCAUAGGGUGGUGUCUUUUUACAAAGGAAUAUGCCACUUGUUUUUAAAAGGAACAUGAGAUCAGCCCUUAUCUAAUUUUAGAGAAAAUUACUUCUUAAAUUAUCUUUAUUGUAGUAUGCAGGUAUUUAUCAUUGUUUGAUCUUCCUAUACAUGCUAUAAGCAAUCUGCCCUAGAAUCAAUCUUUGGUGUUCAUGUGAUGUUAAUCCUGUCUUUCUUUCUAAAUAUAUAUAUGUUGACCAUUAAAUGUAGGUGUAACAUUUGUUUUUGAUAUAUUGAAUAUGAUAUACAUUGUAAAUCAAUAAGUAAAGUAUCCAAUUAAUAUUUUAUAGAAACAAAUAUUUUUUUAAUAACAAUAAUGCAGAAAAAAACAAACAUUUUUAUUAAUGAACACAUCAUUAAAGAGGUUUAUUUGACAGGUUUUAGAAUAAGAUAUAUUGCAUUUCUACUUUAAAAGUAUUUAACAUAAACAAUAACCAUUGUAACCAAGGAUUAGAACUAUUAUAAUGACAUCCUUCAUGGAAUGCUCAGGUUUUGAUUGUUAUUUUAAGAAGGGUUAUGUGGAAAAAUAAAACAAAUUACCUGAUUUCUAAAGAUCUUUUUAUAGUAACAAAACUAUUUUUCCACCUCUCACAUGUGCAUUUGCUUAGAACCAUGUUGAUAUUGUUUUUAGGUUUCCUUGAUUUUUAUUGGACCUUCAAAGGAUAGUUAAGAAUAUAACUGAAAUAAUUGUGUGUGAAUACUGUUAUAUUUUUCCAUUCAUGAAACAAUUCAUUAUUACAGAACACAUACUAGAUAGUAACUACUUAUCUUGAAGAGAUGCACCCUGUUCCGUGUUUAUUAAAUGGUGAAUUCAUUAAUGGAAUGUAUAGUUAAAAAUUACAAAAGCAACUGCAUUGAUGUCUGUGUCAUGGCUUUAAGAAUUAAGAUUUCAAUGAAAAUGAUUUCAGUUUCUAGUAUAUGUUAAUAUAUUAUUUAUUUUCAUUAAUUUGGAAGACGGUUGUUGAACAGAUUGUCAUUGGUGCUUUAAAAAAGUUCUGUACUGUAGUUGUUUUUUUGUCACUUCAUCAAUUGAUAUGAAAGUAACAGCAGCUUUGUUUUGUUUAAGUUUUAUUAAAUUUGAUAAACUGUAUAUCAACUGAGA